GACGAACGCUGGCGGCGUGCUUAACACAUGCAAGUCGAACGGAAAGGCCCUGCUUUUGUGGGGUGCUCGAGUGGCGAACGGGUGAGUAACACGUGAGUAACCUGCCCUUGACUUUGGGAUAACUUCAGGAAACUGGGGCUAAUACCGGAUAGGAGCUCCUGCUGCGUGGUGGGGGUUGGAAAGUUUCGGCGGUUGGGGAUGGACUCGCGGCUUAUCAGCUUGUUGGUGGGGUAGUGGCUUACCAAGGCUUUGACGGGUAGCCGGCCUGAGAGGGUGACCGGCCACAUUGGGACUGAGAGACGGCCCAGACUCCUACGGGAGGCAGCAGUGGGGAAUAUUGCACAAUGGGCGGAAGCCUGAUGCAGCAACGCCGCGUGCGGGAUGACGGCCUUCGGGUUGUAAACCGCUUUCGCCUGUGACGAAGCGUGAGUGACGGUAAUGGGUAAAGAAGCACCGGCUAACUACGUG
RNAcentral lists this ribosomal RNA (468 nucleotides) under uncultured bacterium. RNAcentral's name for it is "partial 16S ribosomal RNA". It matches the Rfam family "Bacterial small subunit ribosomal RNA", at positions 28 to 507 of the family's 1533-position model. The record is from RNAcentral.